Molecule: ribosomal RNA, 501 nt
Filed under: uncultured bacterium
Lineage: Bacteria
Description: bacterial SSU rRNA
Rfam family: Bacterial small subunit ribosomal RNA
Source: RNAcentral
AGUUGGAAACGACUGCUAAUACCGCAUAAGCCCACGGCUCGGCAUCGAGCAGAGGGAAAAGGAGCAAUCCGCUUUGAGAUGGCCUCGCGUCCGAUUAGCUAGUUGGUGAGGUAACGGCCCACCAAGGCGACGAUCGGUAGCCGGACUGAGAGGUUGAACGGCCACAUUGGGACUGAGACACGGCCCAGACUCCUACGGGAGGCAGCAGUGGGGAAUAUUGCACAAUGGGGGAAACCCUGAUGCAGCGACGCCGCGUGGAGGAAGAAGGUCUUCGGAUUGUAAACUCCUGUUGUUGAGGAAGAUAAUGACGGUACUCAACAAGGAAGUGACGGCUAACUACGUGCCAGCAGCCGCGGUAAAACGUAGGUCACAAGCGUUGUCCGGAAUUACUGGGUGUAAAGGGAGCGCAGGCGGGCGAUCAAGUUGGAAGUGAAAUCCAUGGGCUCAACCCAUGAACUGCUUUCAAAACUGAUUGUCUUGAGUAGUGCAGAGGUAGGCGGA